Molecule: ribosomal RNA, 426 nt
Filed under: uncultured bacterium
Lineage: Bacteria
Description: partial 16S ribosomal RNA
Rfam family: Bacterial small subunit ribosomal RNA
Source: RNAcentral
GUGGGGAAUCUUGCGCAAUGGGCGAAAGCCUGACGCAGCAACGCCGCGUGGGGGAUGAAGGCUCUCGGGUUGUAAACCCCUUUCAGCAGGGACGAAUCAAGACGGUACCUGCAGAAGAAGCCCCGGCUAACUACGUGCCAGCAGCCGCGGUAACACGUAGGGGGCAAGCGUUGUCCGGAUUUAUUGGGCGUAAAGAGCUCGUAGGUGGCUGAGUAAGUCGGAGGUCAAAUCCCCAGGCUCAACCUGGGAUCCCAUCCGAUACUGCUCUGGCUAGAGUCCGGUAGGGGAGCGUGGAAUUCCUGGUGUAGCGGUGAAAUGCGCAGAUAUCAGGAGGAACACCAGCGGCGAAGGCGGCGCUCUGGGCCGGUACUGACACUGAGGAGCGAAAGCGUGGGUAGCAAACAGGAUUAGAUACCCCUGUAGUCC